GUUGAGCUAAUCUCGUGACCUAGGGGACUAGUUCGGAAGGUGGUUAAACUAAGGCGAGAUUGCAAUCGAGUCUUGGAUCAUCUUCAGUUGGCAUUGGAGAGCAAUUGGAGGCUUAAUUUGAGCAGGAUUGGGGCCUUGUUGAGCUGAUUAUUAGGACUUCUUGUGACUAUUUGGAGC
Ananas comosus (pineapple) is the source of this 177-nucleotide long non-coding RNA. RefSeq lists it as uncharacterized. The transcript has 3 exons. The record is from RefSeq and is a predicted model, not a curated record. NCBI's taxonomy places the organism in Eukaryota, Viridiplantae, Streptophyta, Magnoliopsida, Poales, Bromeliaceae.